UACGUAGGGAGCAAGCGUUGUCCGGAAUCAUUGGGCGUAAAGCGCGCGUAGGUGGCUUCGUAAGUCCGUUGUGAAAGUCAAAGGCUCAACCUUUGAAAGCCGAUGGAUACUGCGGAGCUAGAGUACGGAAGAGGCGAGUGGAAUUCCAGGUGUAGCGGUGAAAUGCGUAGAUAUCUGGAGGAAUACCGGUGGCGAAGGCGGCAUCCUGGACCGGCAUUGACGCUGAGGAGCGAAAGCCAGGGGAGCAAACGGG
Molecule: ribosomal RNA, 253 nt
Filed under: uncultured bacterium
Lineage: Bacteria
Description: partial 16S ribosomal RNA
Rfam family: Bacterial small subunit ribosomal RNA
Source: RNAcentral